GCCCCCGUCGAUUAAUGGAUAAAUCGGUCGCCUCCUAAGUGACAGCUACAGGUUCGAUUCCUGUCGGGGGUACCA
This 75-nucleotide transfer RNA is filed under the name Azonexus sp. RNAcentral's name for it is "tRNA-Arg". It matches the Rfam family "tRNA". From Rfam's summary of the family: Transfer RNA (tRNA) molecules are approximately 80 nucleotides in length. Their secondary structure includes four short double-helical elements and three loops (D, anti-codon, and T loops). The record is from RNAcentral. RNAcentral also lists the same sequence under 1 other name. Lineage: Bacteria; Pseudomonadati; Pseudomonadota; Betaproteobacteria; Rhodocyclales; Azonexaceae.